This 67-nucleotide transfer RNA is filed under the name uncultured Treponema sp. It matches the Rfam family "tRNA". Rfam says of the family: Transfer RNA (tRNA) molecules are approximately 80 nucleotides in length. Lineage: Bacteria; Pseudomonadati; Spirochaetota; Spirochaetia; Treponematales; Treponemataceae. The record is from RNAcentral.
CGCUGUAGCUCAGCUGGUAGAGCGCGUGAUUUGUAAUCUCGAGGUCCUGGGUUCGAAUCCCUGCGGC